GAUCUUGAUUUCGGGACCAGCGGAAUCAGGGACUACCGUUAUCGCCUGUUACCGGUAUUCUCAAACCUGCUUGAGCCCGACCCCGGUAUGCAAGCGUAUAUCAACCAGGUCCGCGAACCAUGGCUCGACCAACUGCAGGAACCGCUUGCGGUGGCGGAUGAUCUGCUCUUCCGGCGGGGAAAUUUCAAUGGCACUUUCGACCAGAUUAUUUGUGACGCGCAACGCGCGGU
Molecule: ribosomal RNA, 230 nt
Filed under: uncultured eukaryote
Lineage: Eukaryota
Description: partial small subunit ribosomal RNA
Source: RNAcentral